This 264-nucleotide unclassified non-coding RNA is filed under the name Hevea brasiliensis (rubber tree). Lineage: Eukaryota; Viridiplantae; Streptophyta; Magnoliopsida; Malpighiales; Euphorbiaceae. The record is from RNAcentral.
GGCAUGAUCAAUCUUGAUAAACCACCUUCCUCCUUCCUCUUCUUCUUGUAUAUAUGUUCUUUGUUCUUGUUGUCGUGGAUAGAGAAUAUUACUGUUCCUGCUUUACAGUCCCAUCAAGAAUAAUACUGGGCUACAAGCAAAUGGAGCUAUAAACAUACAAAAAUAUGUUAAAAUUGAAGGCACUCGAAUGUCGUUGAGGUACAAGGCCUGCAGUUAGAGCAACCCAAACUUGAAAGAUAUGUUUGCUUCCUCUAUUUCUUUUUC